CCUACGGGGGGCAGCAGUGGGGGAUAUUGCACAAUGGGGGGAACCCUGAUGCAGCGACGCCGCGUGGGUGAAGGAGCGUUUCGGCGCGUAAAGCCCUAUCGGCAGGGAAGAAGAUGACGGUACCUGGCCAAGAAGCCCCGGCUAACUACGUGCCAGCAGCCGCGGUAAUACGUAGGGGGCACGCGUGAUCCGGAUUUACUGGGUGUAAAGGGGGCGCAGACGGCAAUGCAAGCCAGGAGUGAAAGCCCGGGGCCCAACCCCGGGACUGCUCUUGGAACUGCAUGGCUGGAGUACAGGAGGGGCAGGCGGAAUUCCUGGUGUAGCGGUGAAAUGCGUAGAUAUUAGGAGGAACACCGGUGGCGAAGGCGGCCUGCUGGACUGUGACUGACGUUGAGGCCCGAAGGCGUGGGGAGCAAACAGGAUUAGAUACCCCUGUAGUC
Molecule: ribosomal RNA, 440 nt
Filed under: uncultured bacterium
Lineage: Bacteria
Description: partial 16S ribosomal RNA
Rfam family: Bacterial small subunit ribosomal RNA
Source: RNAcentral